Lepidothrix coronata (blue-crowned manakin) is the source of this 410-nucleotide long non-coding RNA. RefSeq lists it as uncharacterized. Lineage: Eukaryota; Metazoa; Chordata; Aves; Passeriformes; Pipridae. The transcript has 3 exons. The record is from RefSeq and is a predicted model, not a curated record.
CGUCAGAGAAAACACACCGACCCCCGAGCGAGCCUGACCUGGCGGCCGGGUCCUUCCCGCAAAAGCGACGACAACAGCAACAAAAAAUUAUCUCCGUUGGAGGAAGGUUUCUUCAGAAGGGGGAGGAGAAGAGAAGGGGACAAGAGUGCGUGUGCGCCUUUCCUUCAAGGUUUGGGGAGCUAAAAUGAUUUAGUACCUUGUCUGUAAAUCUAAUGACCUAAGUUCUGCACAGAGGCGAGAAGGGAAAAAUAGUGCCUGAGAGACCUGAAGUCCCGUACACCUCCUGCCAGCCUGUUUCCUCGAGAAAUAAUGCCCCCUUUCUGCUCGCGGGCGUGUUCCCCUGCUUCUGCCUGUAAGCAGCCCAGGCUACAGUGUGUACCACAAGGGGGUAAGCAAAGGUAAGGGGCCAU